AAACUUAAGCAUAUCAUUCAGCGGAGGAAAAGAAACCAACAGGGAUUGCCUCAGUAACGGCGAGUGAAGCGGCAAGAGCUCAGAUUUGAAAUCGGCCAACCGGCUGAGUUGUAAUCUGUAGAGGAAGGUUCGGUUGAAGUGCUGGCUAAAGUCUUCUGGAAGGGAGCGCCGUAGAGGGUGAGAGCCCCGUCUAGCCUGCGUCUGACGCCAUGUGUACCUCCUUCGAAGAGUCGAGUUGUUUGGGAAUGCAGCUCAAAAUGGGUGGUAAAUUCCAUCUAAAGCUAAAUAUAAGCCAAAGACCGAUAGCGCACAAGUAGAGUGAUCGAAAGAUGAAAAGCACUUUGGAAAGAGAGUGAAACAGUACGUGAAAUUGUUGAAAGGGAAGCGCUUGUGGUCAGACUUGCGCGCAGUUGCUCAGCCGUUCUUUGAGCGGUGCACUCGACUGCGCUCAGGCCAGCAUCGGUUUGGGCGGCUGGAUAAAGUCUUGAGAAAUGUGGCCUCUCGGGGUGUUAUAGUCUCUUGAACAAUACAGUCAGCCUGGACCGAGGACAGCGUUCGCUAGGAUGCUGGCGUAAUGGCCAUCAGCGACCCGUCUUGAAACACGGACCAAGGAGUUGAUCUCUUGUGCGAGUCUUUGAGUGUUAAACUCGGGGGCGCAAUGAAAGUGAACGUAGGUGAGAGCUUAGGCGCAUCAUCGACCGAUCCGGACGUUCUCUGAUGGAUUUGAGUAUGAGCAUGAGUGAUCUGACCCGAAA
Molecule: ribosomal RNA, 755 nt
Filed under: uncultured fungus
Lineage: Eukaryota; Fungi
Description: eukaryotic LSU rRNA
Rfam family: Eukaryotic large subunit ribosomal RNA
Source: RNAcentral